This 72-nucleotide transfer RNA is filed under the name Bacillus subtilis subsp. subtilis 6051-HGW. RNAcentral describes it as "tRNA-Glu". The stretch from base 1 to 58 matches the Rfam family "tRNA", at positions 15 to 71 of the family's 71-position model. From Rfam's summary of the family: Transfer RNA (tRNA) molecules are approximately 80 nucleotides in length. Their secondary structure includes four short double-helical elements and three loops (D, anti-codon, and T loops). Lineage: Bacteria; Bacillati; Bacillota; Bacilli; Caryophanales; Bacillaceae. The record is from RNAcentral.
GCGGUUAAGACACCGCCCUUUCACGGCGGUAACACGGGUUCGAAUCCCGUACGGGUCAUCCAGAAGCCUUGC